AAAAAGUUUUGGUUUUGAAGAGCUUUGGUUUUCCUGAGCUCAUACAUGCUUUCCUGCCAUUGCCUUUCGACAUCCGUCUCCAGGGCUCCAGUUUCCUCAGCCUCCAGCAGACUUGCACCUGCAGCUCUCCAGUGAGCCUCCAGGUCUUCCACCUUGGACUGGUGCUGACUCCUUGACCCUUCUAGUGGUGUGACUUUCAGCUUCUUGGCCCGAGCAGCUACCGGAUCCCUGGCUGUCCAAUGUCCAGAUGGCCCCUUCUGCCUCUGCUUCUGCAGGGGGCACUGUGGACCCCACUUCUAAUCCUGUGAGCUCUCUAUGUCUUCAUGUUUUUAAUACACAUCUGCAAUAACUCUGUGAAAGAAAGGAAGUUCUCCUACAUUCUCUCAGUAUUAGGACUGCGUCUGAGAGACUUCACAUUGACAUUCGUACUGUGCAAGGGCUGAUGAUCAAUUAAAAACAAAAGAAGAAAGAGGGAACACUGUAAGGGAAAAAAGAUACCUAAUUUCAAAACAAAGCUAUCAGAGCUGGCCAGAAGCCAACAAAAAGGAGAAGGAAUAACUACAACAUCAGCGAACACUGUCAAAAAAUGGACUAUCG
Molecule: long non-coding RNA, 597 nt
Filed under: Heterocephalus glaber (naked mole-rat)
Lineage: Eukaryota; Metazoa; Chordata; Mammalia; Rodentia; Bathyergidae
Description: lncRNA (ENSHGLG00000031962.1)
Source: RNAcentral